UGGGGAAUUUUGGACAAUGGGGGAAACCCUGAUCCAGCCAUCCCGCGUGUGCGAUGAAGGCCUUCGGGUUGUAAAGCACUUUUGGCAGGAAAGAAACGUCGUGGGUUAAUACCCCGCGAAACUGACGGUACCUGCAGAAUAAGCACCGGCUAACUACGUGCCAGCAGUCGCGGUAAUACGUAGGGUGCAAGCGUUAAUCGGAAUUACUGGGCGUAAAGCGUGCGCAGGCGGUUCGGAAAGAAAGAUGUGAAAUCCCAGAGCUUAACUUUGGAACUGCAUUUUUAACUACCGGGCUAGAGUGUGUCAGAGGGAGGUGGAAUUCCGCGUGUAGCAGUGAAAUGCGUAGAUAUGCGGAGGAACACCGAUGGCGAAGGCAGCCUCCUGGGAUAACACUGACGCUCAUGCACGAAAGCGUGGGGAGCAAACAGGAUUAGAUACCCUGGUAGUCCACGCCCUAAACGAUGUCAACUAGCUGUUGGGGUCUUCGGACCUUGGUAGCGCAGCUAACGCGUGAAGUUGACCGCCUGGGGAGUACGGUCGCAAGAUUAAAACUUAAAUGAAUUGACGGGGUCAUAGCGUG
RNAcentral lists this ribosomal RNA (580 nucleotides) under uncultured bacterium. RNAcentral describes it as "partial 16S ribosomal RNA". It matches the Rfam family "Bacterial small subunit ribosomal RNA", at positions 355 to 929 of the family's 1533-position model. The record is from RNAcentral.